GAUAAAUCAAAAGCAUGCUUCACAAUCACACAAAGAGGAAGUGCGCCAAUUAUGGUAUUCUUGUGUAGUUUCCUGGGUACAGCAAGUACCAUUAUAACUGGAUUGUCAUUUAUCACUGCUGUCUUCACAAUGUGUCAGAAAAAAAGUACAGCUUUGAAAUGGUCUAAAAACUCGGCGGCAGCAGCUCUUCUUGCAGUAGCCUUGUCAGUCAGCGUUGAAUGUAUUUAUGGUGCAACUUACUCCAGUAUUACGUACGACAAUAUCCCUAACCUCAACAAAACAUCAACGACAACUGAACUUUCCUGGUCGUUCUUUUUAUAUUGCU
This is a long non-coding RNA of Mytilus californianus (California mussel), 325 nucleotides long. RefSeq lists it as uncharacterized. Lineage: Eukaryota; Metazoa; Mollusca; Bivalvia; Mytilida; Mytilidae. The transcript is spliced from 3 exons. The record is from RefSeq and is a predicted model, not a curated record.